Psammomys obesus (fat sand rat) is the source of this 106-nucleotide small nuclear RNA. NCBI's taxonomy places the organism in Eukaryota, Metazoa, Chordata, Mammalia, Rodentia, Muridae. The record is from RefSeq and is a predicted model, not a curated record.
GUACUCGAUUCAGCAGCACAUAUAUAAAACUGGAACCAUACAGAGAAGAUUAGCAUGGCCCCUGUGCAAGGAUGACACACAAAUUCACGAAGCAUAAAAAAAAAAA